UUGGUUUGGUAACGUCAGCUAACGUUAGCAGCAGCAGCAGGCCGAUCGGUCGCUCCGCUCCCACUGUAGGAAGACUUAUUUACC
Etheostoma spectabile (orangethroat darter) is the source of this 84-nucleotide long non-coding RNA. RefSeq lists it as uncharacterized. NCBI's taxonomy places the organism in Eukaryota, Metazoa, Chordata, Actinopteri, Perciformes, Percidae. The transcript has 3 exons. The record is from RefSeq and is a predicted model, not a curated record.